CCCUACGGGGGGCAGCAGUAGGGAAUCUUCCCCAAUGGGCGAAAGCCUGGUGGAGCAACGCCGCGUGGGUGAAGAAGGUCUUCGGAUCGUAAAACCCUGUUGUUAGAGAAGAAAGUGCGUGAGAGUAACUGUUCACAUUUCGACGGUAUCUAACCAGAAAGCCACGGCUAACUACGUGCCAGCAGCCGCGGUAAUACGUAGGUGGCAAGCGUUAUCCGGAUUUAUUGGGCGUAAAGGGAACGCAGGCGGUCUUUUAAGUCUGAUGUGAAAGCCUUCGGCUUAACCGGAGUAGUGCAUUGGAAACU
This 305-nucleotide ribosomal RNA is filed under the name uncultured bacterium. RNAcentral's name for it is "bacterial SSU rRNA". It matches the Rfam family "Bacterial small subunit ribosomal RNA", at positions 337 to 634 of the family's 1533-position model. The record is from RNAcentral.